Long non-coding RNA from Aethalodelphis obliquidens (Pacific white-sided dolphin), 4907 nucleotides. RefSeq lists it as uncharacterized. Lineage: Eukaryota; Metazoa; Chordata; Mammalia; Artiodactyla; Delphinidae. The record is from RefSeq and is a predicted model, not a curated record. The transcript has 3 exons.
CAUGAAACCGUUACUGCUGUUGACAGUGAAAUAGAAAUUUCUGCUGAUCAUGACACACCAGUCUGGUGACAACACUGUUGAGUUCUGCUGUCUAAGAUGAGGGUAGCAGUUGGUUGCUACCGCGGAACCAAGAGAUUCUUCUCCCUUUUACUAGAUGUGGCCGUAAGCAAAACCCCUAAUACUUGGAAUGGAGGCAGCAAAGACUGGGAGUCUGCAGUGAGGCCACCAACCACAAGCAUUGCAAGGUAUUUGGAGGCGGGAAUGGGAUGGAGGAUGGAUGAGAGGACAAGCAGAAGGAUGGGAGGGAUGUGGGAUGAGGGGAUGGUGGGGGGACGGGUGGAUGAAGAACUUCUAGGAGGUAAAGCCUGCUUAGGUAUGAUAGAGUGACUUGGGCUGCUCAACCAACAGAGUUAGUGAGGACUCCUGAAGCCGUAUGCUUCCCACCCCCCUAUAGAGAGGGCCACCAGAAUAAACCCUGUUUCUCAGCUGUGAGGACAGCAGGCCCUCCCCCAGAUGUGCGCAGGGCAUGCUCUACGGCACUGAGGCGGUGAGCCUGGGCCCUGUGUGUGCUGUCUGCACGCUCAUAGCAACUGAACAUCGAAAUCAGAAGUGGGCAAGCCCCGGCCACAAGAAAAGGGCCUUCUACCAUCGUUCUUCUGAACUGGAGGCUGCCCGUGCCCUCGGCAGGCCAAGGUGGGUGAGCAGGCUGGCUGUGGGUCCUGAGCAAGCUCUGUGCUGCCGGACUUCAUUUCCCAGCAGCAGACAAGCUCAGAGGCCAGCCUCCUCGGGAAGGGAGACUGGAACUGAUCCACUCACCACCGAGGGAAGAAGCACUCUAGGCUUGAUCUCCAGACCUAGCUGUGCUAUUUCCCAACCCCUCUGUCUUUGUACCCUCAUCCCAGAAGGGGAGGAGAAAUGAUUUGGGACCCCAAGCAAGUGAGAGAUGACUUUCCUGAGAGUGCCUUUGGUUGUUAAGAAACGGGUGGGAUAAGAAAUGGAGACCAUCAAGGCACUCCUAAAAAUAACCAGAUGGACUGGGGUUACUUGUGAGCUAUAGCAGCUGUGUGGCACGAAUCUCAUUUAGCACCACGUGAAAGGGAGACCAUUAGCCCUGACUAACCGGGCCAUUCUGGGGAAGUAUCCUCUACACAGUUGUUUCAUAAAUGCUCCCAGCCCUUCACAUCCCGGCUUUCUCCCUCCCUGCCCGAGGUCCCAUUGCAGUGACACUGCACUGGGACAGGGAUAACCAGAGCCCAGCUGCUGCCUCUUUCUUCUCUCUCUCUGCUGAAGAGCCAGCUGACCACACAGGAGAGCUUGCUCCUCCUGGCGGCUCUGCUGUCAGAAGAAUGAGCCACUGUCGACGCAGGGGGAGUUCACUUUCCGGGGACGUGGAGAUCAGCAAGGUUGAACAAUCUGUUCAGAGAUACAGCGUUGAUGGGCACUGGAGGGCUCGACGCCCAGCCUGGACCACAGGACUCACCAUCUGCCCUGAGAACACAAGGCUUUGGGGUCCGAGGCAGCCAUGACAGUUAGCACCUGCUGUAUACCAGGAGCUAUGCUAGCAACUGGGGGUCCAGUGUGAAUAAGACCCAUCCCCUGUCCUGCAGAAGUCUGCAUACCGCUGGGCUCGUGGUGAUGUCAGACGUGCAAUCAUGAACUUUGGGUGUUGGACCUGAAGGAUGGGUGGGGUCCAGUGUGGGAGCCAGGGAGGUGUGAGCAAGUCUACCCAGAGAGGCGUUAUCUGGAAAGUCUUCCCAGAGAGGACGACGCUUAAUGGUCUCAGUAUUAGAGAUGCAGAUGAAAAGCUGAAGGAAGAGGGGAGGAAGGUACUGCCGAAGGGGAGUGAGCCAAAGACAAAGAGGAGAUGGAACCUGCAGCGCCGUCUGCUACCGGAGCCACCUGUCUGUCGCUAGAAAGGGUCCCGAGGCAUGGGGCAAAACCUGCCCACCUGCCCCUUUUGACUGUACUCUGCUGGCUCUCAGAUUCCGUGGCUUCCGUCCAGCCUGCGGAGACGCAGGUCAGGAAAUGGGGUGGCACCCAGCCAGGGACCACGCAUCUCCCUCCCUCUGCCUCCACACCGUCCCCUCCUGCUAUGUGCCCUGAUGCUCUGCUGUUGCUUGGCUGCCGUCCUCAAGGUUGGUAAUAAUAGUUACAAUGUUUGCGUGUGUUUGGCUUGCCUCUUACAACUUAAAUUCUUUUGAAUUACAUGAUUUCAAUCCAGCAAGGACAAGAUUUCUAUAUUUGUUGUAUCUCCCAGCAGCCAGCACGUACAUACAACAAAGGCUAAAAUACAGCAGGGCCUCGUACUCAAGACUGCCAGUCAGUCAACAAGUAUUUACUACGUUCCCACAAAGCGUGCAGUGCGGGCAGCAGCGAGGUCUAACAAUGGUAAGAUGCACUUGUUUCAUCCUGGGAAAUCCAGAAGAGGAAAUAAAGGGACGGUACAGAAAGUUCUGACACUCAGGGGAAAGUCAGGGUCACUGCAACUGCCCAGGGGAGACCAUGAGAGCUGGGCUCAGAGCCCCGGAUGAAGGACUCCCGGCUGCCCAGCUGAUGAAAUCUCCGGUCUACAGCUGCCCGUUUCCGGAAGUCCCACCUGGAAAGGGACUCUGGGAGCCCAUGUUUGCUGCAUGGUUGUUUCUCCCCAACACUCCCCUUCCUCCAGCCAGUUGUGCUGGCAGGCAAAUCAGGGGAACCACCGCAGCUCCUGCCUAAGGAGAGUUUCGCAUGCUGUUAACGCUAGCGGUGGCACUGAUCUCUGGCUGAUUGCAGCCACUCAGGCUAAAUGGGUAGGAGGUUUAUUUAAAAGAGAAAAGGCAGGGGAAUGUGGAGGAAGGUAGUAGGGGAGAGGGUGAGCUAACAACUUUGGCUAGGAAUAAAGAAACAAUCUCUUUUCAAUCAGGGACAAUUAACUCUUAAGUCAAUAUGCAGACUUCAUAAUUCCUGGACUAACUUCGUCUUGCCCAGGCGGCCACGAUCAGGGUCAGGGGAGCGUGUCCUCUGGUGAGAGCUGGUACUGCUGUCUACUGCCUGCGCUUUCCUUCCCUGACACUGGAGCUUGUUACGGUAACACCUGGCACUUGGAAGAGCAGGCAGGAAAGAAGGUUCUGCCCUCCCUCCAAGAACUUUAUGGCAUCUCAUCGUUGGAGGUGCCCUUACCUUACCCCAGCGGGAGGUAUGAGCUGAAAACAAAUGGUUUAGAUACCAUUUCAGGGGGAUGUACUUGUAAAGGGCUACAAGAUCAAGGGGAGAUGUUUUGGAAAUACCAGCUCUCCCAGCACCUGGAUAAGGUCUGGGCAGGGCACUCCUUGAAUUCUGAAGGCUGCAGACAUUCAACUGGGGUGGUAAGUAGGAAGACCUGGUGGCAGAGAGAAGCAGACUGCGUAGAUCAGGGGCAUGCCCUUGGAACAGCUCUGCAGAGUCAUGCUAAGAAGAUGGGCAGAACGCAAUGCAGUCUUACCUAGAGGCAGGCACUGGGAGGGACAAGACCUGCAGGCCUUUCAGAGGAGAGAACAGCCUUCACCCAGUGUACUGUGCUAGAUGGGGAAUCCAGAGUCUGAGAGUCUUAUUUCAGAGAGAGUUGCAAGAGCUCCACGGUGCAAGAGCCUCUCUCACCCGGAACUACUGUGGGAGCAAACCCUACUCUGCAGCUCUGUGGCCCAAAGCUCUGUACCUGCCUGAUUUCCCAAUUUUAGUAGCGAUGCGCUAUGCUUCAGGUGAAAGAGAGGAGAAGCCAGAGCAUCCUACGUUAAAUAACGUUUCAGUGCCACAGGCUGACUCCUGCCUAAAUCUAGGUUUUGGUUUGGGGCUUGGGGCUGGUUGUCAGGGCACCUGGCUGAGCCCUGGUACCAUGUCAGUCCUAGCAGUUGGUGGGUGCCGGGCAGCAGGCUCGUGCUGCUUUGCAAGAAUGUUCUAGGGAAGAGCACCCCAGGACAGGGACCGUGUAUGGGAGGGGAUUCUGGAACUGAAGGGGUCAAAUAUAAGGCAGCUUUAUCCCAGGUAGAACUCUCAAGAAGAGACCGUCUUGGCCCUGCAUCUUCAUCAAUAUUUAUCGAGUCCCAGCUUUCUGCAAGGUUCCAUCACAAGAGCUGAAUACUGAUGUCUGACCUUGCAGUCUCACACUAAAACACAACUGACACACAAAUGAAGGGAAAGGAUGAUAUGUAUGUUAAAGGAGAGAGGGGACCAUGGUGAGACACCUAGAGGGUCAUUUAGGACUUAGAGGAUCUCCUCGUCUCAAAGACACAGUAGUUAUGGGACGGUCCCUUCCCCAAAGGGAGUUUGGGAAGGGGAUUUGUGGAAAGGGAAGACCACUUCUUGAAUAGAAUGGAAACUCUCCUCGUUCACCUAGGUCACUCCUAGACGUGCUUCAAACUCCACUUAAGAGUCGCUGUGAGAUGCUGCCCCUCUACAAUCCAGCUAGCUGCACACAUGCAUCCCCUACUGUCGCAUGUGCCUCUCUGUCCGAACAGCUGCCCUCCUGUCUCUUACCCGUGACUGUCAGCCCACGGAGGGCAGAAGCCUCAGGGUCUAACAUAGUGUCAGGCACAGGGGAGGGACCUGGAUGUGAGAGCCACCUGGCUGCCACAUCUGGCAUGUUCAUUUUUGCUCAUUUAGUUGGUUAAAUGUUUACUGACUGAUAGGAACGAAGGAUGAUUUGACUAGAGGGAAGGGAGAGGAAGUGAGCACACAAAUAAUCAGGGAGGAGAUGAAGGCCCCAGGAGAGCACCUGCUUAGAGUCCCUGCUGGGAAGGUGGACCCCAGCCCCUCUCCCCCUCUGCAAGGCCUGAGGCCCGCCUGAGCUCAUGGACUCCAGGCUGGCCUCUCCUGAUUCAUCCUCUGCUCACCCCUCACUCACCAGUUGCUCUUCCAGGUGUGACGGACGUGCGGGUCGUGGAUACCGUGUU